AUGGCAUAUUUGCAGCAGAAUGGCAUCCAGAAAUCAUUGUAAUUGUGCCAGUAUUUCAUGCGCUUAUUUAAGAGUAUUUUCUGUUCAAGGAUUUCAAAACACUUCUCUAAUGGUACGGAGAAAAGUCAACAUGGUAGAGAAGUAGGGGGACUCAAAUUUCCCUUGUCUCUCAAACACAGCAAUGUUGAGGCCAGAAGACUUGGAAUUCCAGGAAUGUGGACUACAAAUGACAGAAACAUCUCCAGGGGCCAUGUGGACAACUUGGCAGGCCAUAGCAAGCUGGGGCAAGUUCAUCUAACACCUCCUUUGAAGACCAGCAGAUGUUUCAUAAAGGGUCUAUACGUGGGAGGUCUAAGUACAGAGCUUGACUGUGAACUUUCAUCAAGGGACCUGCUUCAGAUUUCACCCAGGAAACUCUCGAGUUUGCAAGACAACAAGCCCCAUCUCCAUUGCAGCAUUAUUUACAAAAGCAAAGACAUGAAAACAAUCUAAAUGUCCAUCGACAGAUGAUUGUAUAAAAAAAUGUGGUACAUAUAUAAUGGAAUGUUAUUCAGCUAUUAACAAGAAGGACAUCCUGUCAUUUUCAACAACAUGGAUUAACCUUAAGGGUAUCAUGCUAAGUGAAAUGAGUCUGAUAGAAAGACAAAUAUGAUAUGAUCUCACUUACAUAUGGAAUCUAAAAAAACACCCAAACUCAUAGAAAAAAAGAUUGGUGGUUACCAGAGGUGGGGGUAGGAGGAUGGGGAAAUUGGGAAAUGUGGUCGAUUAUAAACUUCUAGCUAUAAGAGAAAG
RNAcentral lists this long non-coding RNA (792 nucleotides) under Felis catus (domestic cat). RNAcentral's name for it is "lncRNA (ENSFCAG00000046085.2)". Lineage: Eukaryota; Metazoa; Chordata; Mammalia; Carnivora; Felidae. The record is from RNAcentral.